GAUGAACGCUGGCGGCGUGCCUAAUACAUGCAAGUCGAGCGAACAGACGAGGAGCUUGCUCCUCUGACGUUAGCGGCGGACGGGUGAGUAAAACGUGGAUAACCUACCUAUAAGACUGGGAUAACUUAGGGAAACCGGAGCUAAUACCGGAUAAUAUAUUGAACCGCAUGGUUCAAUAGUGAAAGACGGUUUUGCUGUCACUUAUAGAUGGAUCCGCGCCGCAUUAGCUAGUUGGUAAGGUAACGGCUUACCAAGGCGACGAUGCGUAGCCGACCUGAGAGGAUGAUCGGCCACACUGGAACUGAGACACGGUCCAGACUCCUACGGGAGGCAGCAGUAGGGAAUCUUCCGCAAUGGGCGAAAGCCUGACGGAGCAACGCCGCGUGAGUGAUGAAGGUCUUCGGAUCGUAAAACUCUGUUAGUAGGGAAGAACAAAUGUGUAAGUAACUAUGCACGUCUUGACGGUACCUAAUCAGAAAGCCCCGGCUAACUACGUG
Molecule: ribosomal RNA, 497 nt
Filed under: uncultured bacterium
Lineage: Bacteria
Description: partial 16S ribosomal RNA
Rfam family: Bacterial small subunit ribosomal RNA
Source: RNAcentral